GCGACAGUUGGUCCACUGUAGGAGUGGGGUGUGCAUCAAGAUGGGACCUAUCGAUCCUAGCAGAAAAGAAUAGUCCUAUAAAAUUUAAGAGACUGAGUCCUUAAGUCUAUAGCCAUAGCAGUGUGAUUGAUGAAAAAAAGUUUCAUAGAAUCACAUAUAGACUCGAGCUGAUUGAAUCUAUCAUAUAACCGAUGUUGAGGUUUGACG
This 207-nucleotide long non-coding RNA is filed under the name Elaeis guineensis (African oil palm). RNAcentral describes it as "long non-coding RNA (EGUI_LNC030946)". The record is from RNAcentral. Lineage: Eukaryota; Viridiplantae; Streptophyta; Magnoliopsida; Arecales; Arecaceae.